CGGUGUUCAACUGGCGUGCCCGCGGGACGUCCUGCCGGUGAGCUCAGCCCGCGAGGGCGGCUCAACUUGAAAUCCCAUCGCGGUGCUCUUCAUUGAGUGUCGAGGUGGGCCGGCACGAUUACUUUUGAACAAAUUAGAGUGCUUAAAGCAGGCUAAAAUUUUGCCUGAAUACUGUGUAUAUGGAAUAAUGGAAUAGGACCUCGGUUCUAUUUUGUUGGUUUUCGGAACCCCGAGGUAAUGAUUAAUAGGAACGGAUGGGGGCAUUCGUAUUGCGACGUUAGAGGUGAAAUUCUUGGAUCGUCGCAAGACGGACUAAAGCGAAAGCAUUUGCCAAAAACGCUUUCAUUGAUCAAGAACGAAAGUUAGAGGGUUCGAAGGCGAUCAGAUACCGCCCUAGUUCUAACCAUAAACUAUGCCAGCUAGCGAUCCGCCGACGUCCCUCUGAUGACUCGGCGGGGCAUCUUCCGGGAAACCAAAGCUUUUGGGUUCCGGGGGAAGUAUGGUUGCAAAGCUGAAACUUAAAGGAAUUUGACGGAAGGGCACCACCAGGAGUGGAGCGUGCGGCUUAAUUUGACUCAACACGGGAAACCUCACCAGGCCCAGACACUGGAAGGAUUGACAGAUUGAGAGCUCUUUCUUGAUUCAGUGGGUGGUGGUGCAUGGCCGUUCUUAGUCGGUGGAGCGAUUUGUCAGGUUAAUUCCGAUAACGGACGAGACUCUGACCUGAUAACUAGACGCACUUGCGGCAUCUCAAAGGUCCGCCGGCGGCUGGCUUUGCGCCCGUCGUCGCGCGCGAUUUUUACUGCCGGCGUACAAUAAAUUCUUCUAGAGGGACAAGUGG
This 841-nucleotide ribosomal RNA is filed under the name uncultured eukaryote. RNAcentral's name for it is "SSU rRNA". It matches the Rfam family "Eukaryotic small subunit ribosomal RNA", at positions 635 to 1426 of the family's 1831-position model. The record is from RNAcentral.